AGUGAACGCUGGCGGUAGGCCUAACACAUGCAAGUCGAACGGCAGCACAGUAAGAGCUUGCUCUUACGGGUGGCGAGUGGCGGACGGGUGAGGAAUACAUCGGAAUCUACUUUUUCGUGGGGGAUAUCGUGGGAAAAUUUAGCCUAAAACCGAAUACUCCUAACGGGGAAAAUCGGGGAUUCUCGGAACCUUGGCUGUUGGAUGUAGCCGAUGUCGGAUUGGCUAGUUGGCGGGGUAAGGGCCCACCAAGGCGACGAUCCGUAGCUGGUCUGAGAGGAUGAUCAGCCACACUGGAACUGAGACACGGUCCAGACUCCUACGGGAGGCAGCAGUGGGGAAUAUUGGACAAUGGGCGCAAGCCUGAUCCAGCCAUACCGCGUGGGUGAAGAAGGCCUUCGGGUUGUAAAGCCCUUUUGUUGGGAAAGAAAAGCAGCAGGUUAAUACCCCGCUGUUCUGACGGUACCCAAAGAAUAAGCACCGGCUAACUUCGUG
RNAcentral lists this ribosomal RNA (492 nucleotides) under uncultured bacterium. RNAcentral describes it as "partial 16S ribosomal RNA". It matches the Rfam family "Bacterial small subunit ribosomal RNA", at positions 29 to 507 of the family's 1533-position model. The record is from RNAcentral.